This 902-nucleotide ribosomal RNA is filed under the name uncultured archaeon. RNAcentral describes it as "bacterial SSU rRNA". It matches the Rfam family "Archaeal small subunit ribosomal RNA", at positions 1 to 879 of the family's 1478-position model. The record is from RNAcentral.
UUCCGGUUGAUCCUGCCGGACCCUACUGCUAUCGGGGUGGGACUAAGACAUGCGAGUCGUGCGUCUCUAAGCCAUGGUAGAGACGCGGCAUACGGCUCAGUAACACGUGGCUAACCUACCCUUAGGACGGGGACAACCCCGGGAAACUGGGGCUAAUCCCCGAUAGGUGAGGAGGCCUGGAAUGGUUCUUCGCUGAAAAGGCGUUGAAACCAUGCUUUUCAACGUCGCCUAAGGAUGGGGCCGCGCCCGAUCAGGUUGUUGGUGGGGUAACGGCUCACCAAGCCUAUAACCGGUACGGGCCGUGAGAGCGGGAGCCCGGAGAUGGGCACUGAGACAAGGGCCCAGGCCCUACGGGGCGCAGCAGUCGCGAAAACUCCGCAAUGCGCGAAAGCGUGACGGGGCUACCCCGAGUGCCGUCCGCUGAGGAUGGCUUUUCCCCGGUGUAAUGAGUCGGGGGAAUAAGGAGAGGGCAAGUCUGGUGUCAGCCGCCGCGGUAAUACCAGCUCUCCGAGUGGUAGGGACGAUUAUUGGGCUUAAAGCGUCCGUAGCCGGCUUAGCAAGUCUCCCUGUUAAAUUCAGCGACCUAAUCGUUGAGCCGCGGGAGAUACUACUAGGCUAGGAGGCGAGAGAGGCCGACGGUAUUCCCGGGGUAGGGGUGAAAUCCUAUAAUCCCGGGAGGACCACCAGUGGCGAAGGCUGUCGGCUAGAACGCGCUCGACGGUGAGGGACGAAAGCUGGGGGAGCGAACCGGAUUAGAUACCCGGGUAGUCCCAGCUGUAAACGAUGCGGGCUAGGUGUUGGGGUGGCUACGAGCCACUUCAGUGCCGCAGGGAAGCCAUUAAGCCCGCCGCCUGGGGAGUACGGCCGCAAGGCUGAAACUUAAAGGAUUGGCGGGGGAGCAC